Molecule: non-coding RNA, 72 nt
Organism: Budorcas taxicolor (takin)
Lineage: Eukaryota; Metazoa; Chordata; Mammalia; Artiodactyla; Bovidae
Source: the annotation of a RefSeq genome assembly
UCCCUGGUGGCUCAGACGGUAAAGCGUCUGCCUGCAAUGCGGGAGACCCAGGUUCAAUUCCUGGUUUGGGAA